UACGUAGGGGGCGAGCGUUGUCCGGAUUUAUUGGGCGUAAAGCGUGCGUAGGCGGCUGCGCAAGUCGGUUGUGAAACCCCGGGGCUCAACCCCGGAACUGCCUUUGAUACUGACGAUCUGGAGAUCGGGAGAGGUUGGUGGAAUUCCGAGUGUAGAGGUGAAAUUCGUAGAUAUUCGGAGGAACACCAGAAGCGAAGGCGGCCAACUGGUCCGAUACUGACGCUGAGGCGCGAAAGCGUGGGGAGCAAACAGG
Molecule: ribosomal RNA, 253 nt
Filed under: uncultured bacterium
Lineage: Bacteria
Description: partial 16S ribosomal RNA
Rfam family: Bacterial small subunit ribosomal RNA
Source: RNAcentral